GAUAGGCUUGCUCCUUUGUUCUAGCGGCGGACGGGUGAGUACACGUGGGUACCUACCUAUAAGACUGGAAUAACUUCGGGAAACCGGAGCUAAUGCCGGAUAACAUUUGGAACCGCAUGGUUCUAAAGUAAAAGAUGGUUUUGCUAUCACUUAUAGAUGGACCCGCGCCGUAUUAGCUAGUUGGUAAGGUAACGGCUUACCAAGGCAACGAUACGUAGCCGACCUGAGAGGGUGAUCGGCCACACUGGAACUGAGACACGGUCCAGACUCCUACGGGAGGCAGCAGUAGGGAAUCUUCCGCAAUGGACGAAAGUCUGACGGAGCAACGCCGCGUGAGUGAUGAAGGUUUUCGGAUCGUAAAACUCUGUUAUUAGGGAAGAACAAAUGUGUAAGUAACUGUGCACAUCUUGACGGUACCUAAUCAGAAAGCCACGGCUAACUACGU
Molecule: ribosomal RNA, 445 nt
Filed under: Staphylococcus equorum
Lineage: Bacteria; Bacillati; Bacillota; Bacilli; Caryophanales; Staphylococcaceae
Description: bacterial SSU rRNA
Rfam family: Bacterial small subunit ribosomal RNA
Source: RNAcentral